GGGGAUUUAGCUUAGUGGUGUAAGCACCUGCCUGGCAGGUGUGAGGUGAUAAGUUCAAUUCCCA
Molecule: transfer RNA, 64 nt
Filed under: Cavia porcellus (domestic guinea pig)
Lineage: Eukaryota; Metazoa; Chordata; Mammalia; Rodentia; Caviidae
Rfam family: tRNA
About the family: Transfer RNA (tRNA) molecules are approximately 80 nucleotides in length. Their secondary structure includes four short double-helical elements and three loops (D, anti-codon, and T loops).
Source: Rfam by way of RNAcentral